RNAcentral lists this unclassified non-coding RNA (1835 nucleotides) under Daphnia magna. RNAcentral's name for it is "beta-glucuronidase, transcript variant X2". The record is from RNAcentral. Lineage: Eukaryota; Metazoa; Arthropoda; Branchiopoda; Diplostraca; Daphniidae.
AAACAUACCAGGUUAGGCGGCUGUCAGUUGUCUGUCAGUCUGUGUGAGAGGGCGUUUUUUGAAAUAAAGAUUGUGAAGAUAAAGGAUUCGCAGAAUUAUCGCACGACUGGUUUUGCCUACCUUUGGAAGCGAGUCAAUCACGUGUCAGUAUGCAUUGGCGAAUCUUCUUCGCCACUGUUAUCUGUGUAAAUGGAAUUCAUGCUUCAGGAAUCCUCUACCCCAGACCAUCGGAAUCAAGAGAAACACUAACCUUGGACGGAAUUUGGAAAUUUGCGAUCGCUAACAGGACAGAACAGAACAAAGGUUUUAAAGAUAAGUGGUAUGCAGCCCCUCUUCAUCACAAUGUGGAAGUGAUUGACAUGCCUGUGCCCUCUAGUUAUAAUGACAUAACACAAGAUGCAAACAUUAGGGAUCACAUUGGUUGGGCCUGGUAUCAAAGAGAUUUUUUCCUUCCCAAAAGUUGGAAAUCACAGCAAGUCAGUAUCAGGUUUGGCAGUGUCAAUUAUUAUGCAGUAGUGUGGAUCAAUGGUGUUGAAGUAACCAAUCACUCUGGAGGUUAUUUGCCUUUCGAGGUAAAAAUCACUGAACAUUUGAAAUUUGGACACCUAAACUGGAUCACAGUAGCUGUUAACAACACACUCACUCCAUGGACUAUCCCUCAGGGGAAAAUUGUUUACCACAACGACUCACAACGCUACCCCGCAGGCUAUUAUGAACAACAGUAUAAUUUUGAUUUCUUCAAUUUUGCGGGCAUUCACCGUCCUGUCAUAUUAUCUGCAACGCCAAAAACUUAUAUAGACGAUAUAACCAUCAACACGACGAGUGUGACGGAUUCUCUUGGCGUCAUAUUCUACUCGGUUGAGCUAGGGGGCUCGAAGAUUGCCGCUUACUCAGUCAUUGCAGAAAUUUAUGAUGCACAGCACCGCCUCGUUGCUCAGGCCAAGGGACUCAAAGGCGAAAUCAGCAUUAAUAAUCCAAACUUGUGGUGGCCCCGAGGAAUGAACGAGUCAGUCGGAUAUCUUUACACGCUCAAGAUCCAGUUAUGGAACGAUGCCAAAAAUGUGGAGGGUGACAUUUACAGACUUCCAUUCGGUGUUCGUUUCAUUGAAUGGAAUUCGACAGGGGUCUACAUAAAUGGAAAAAGCGUUUAUUUUAAAGGAUUUGGCCGACACGAAGACGCGAUUUUGAGAGGCCGUGGCUUGGACCUGGUAACAUUAACAAAGGACUACAAUCUAAUGAGAUGGAUAGAAGCCAAUUCAUUUCGCACUUCACACUACCCAUAUUCGGAAGAACUAAUGGAUCUGGCUGAUCAACAAGGAUUUCUGGUUAUCGAUGAAGUUCCAGCUGUUGGUCUUGAUAACUUUGAUGAUGAACUUUUGGAAGCCCACAUGCAGACCUUGAAGGAACUGGUUCAACGCGACAAAAAUCGCCCUGCAGUUGUAAUGUGGUCAAUUGGCAACGAACCCCAAUCGCAAAAACAAGUCUCGGCACACUACUUUGAUACUAUUGUCAAGCUAGUCCAUCGACUAGAUUCAUCGAGGCCUGUGACUUUAGUUUUGAACAAACCGAGCAGCCAAGAUGUUGCUGUGAGUCGAUCUUCAGAUAAGUGUAGAUUGUUAGUUGUCGUAGCUUCCUUACGUAGAUAUGCACAUAACUAAGGUCACAGGCGUGUCGCUAAUUAUACUCGUUCAUUGGAUCUCGCCAGACCUGUGACCAUGGUUUUGGCUCAAUCCUACGCGUCUGAUUUAGCUGCCCAGUUCCUAGAUGUUAUUUGCAUAAAUCGUUAUUUCGGUUGGUACUCGGAUACCGGCCAUAGCGAACUAAUAACCUACCAG